RNAcentral lists this ribosomal RNA (1166 nucleotides) under uncultured Bacteroides sp. RNAcentral describes it as "bacterial SSU rRNA". It matches the Rfam family "Bacterial small subunit ribosomal RNA", at positions 12 to 1176 of the family's 1533-position model. Lineage: Bacteria; Pseudomonadati; Bacteroidota; Bacteroidia; Bacteroidales; Bacteroidaceae. The record is from RNAcentral.
UUUGAUCCUGGCUCAGGAUGAACGCUAGCUACAGGCUUAACACAUGCAAGUCGAGGGGCAGCAUUGGAGUAGCAAUACUUCAGAUGGCGACCGGCGCACGGGUGAGUAACACGUAUCCAACCUGCCGCUUACUCGGGGAUAGCCUUUCGAAAGAAAGAUUAAUACCCGAUGGUAUAAAGAGUUCGCAUGUUCUCUUUAUUAAAGAAUUUCGGUAAGCGAUGGGGAUGCGUUCCAUUAGAUUGUUGGCGGGGUAACGGCCCACCAAGUCUACGAUGGAUAGGGGUUCUGAGAGGAAGGUCCCCCACAUUGGAACUGAGACACGGUCCAAACUCCUACGGGAGGCAGCAGUGAGGAAUAUUGGUCAAUGGACGAGAGUCUGAACCAGCCAAGUAGCGUGAAGGAUGACUGCCCUAUGGGUUGUAAACUUCUUUUAUAAGGGAAUAAAGUGAGGGACGUGUCCCUUUUUGUAUGUACCUUAUGAAUAAGGAUCGGCUAACUCCGUGCCAGCAGCCGCGGUAAUACGGAGGAUCCGAGCGUUAUCCGGAUUUAUUGGGUUUAAAGGGAGCGUAGGUUGACAUAUAAGUCAGCUGUGAAAGUUUACGGCUCAACCGUGAAAUUGCAGUUGAUACUGUAUGUCUUGAGUGUACAAGAGGUGGGCGGAAUUCGUGGUGUAGCGGUGAAAUGCUUAGAUAUCACGAAGAACUCCAAUUGCGAAGGCAGCUCACUGGGGUACAACUGACACUGAGGCUCGAAAGUGUGGGUAUCAAACAGGAUUAGAUACCCUGGUAGUCCACACAGUAAACGAUGAAUACUCGCUGUUUGCGAUAUACAGUAAGCGGCCAAGCGAAAGCAUUAAGUAUUCCACCUGGGGAGUACGCCGGCAACGGUGAAACUCAAAGGAAUUGACGGGGGCCCGCACAAGCGGAGGAACAUGUGGUUUAAUUCGAUGAUACGCGAGGAACCUUACCCGGGCUUGAAUUGCAGAGGAACAUAGUUGAAAGAUUAUGGCCGCAAGGUCUCUGUGAAGGUGCUGCAUGGUUGUCGUCAGCUCGUGCCGUGAGGUGUCGGCUUAAGUGCCAUAACGAGCGCAACCCUUAUCAUUAGUUACUAACAGGUCAUGCUGAGGACUCUAGUGAGACUGCCGUCGUAAGAUGUGAGGAAGGUGG